This 590-nucleotide ribosomal RNA is filed under the name uncultured bacterium. Its description in RNAcentral is "bacterial SSU rRNA". It matches the Rfam family "Bacterial small subunit ribosomal RNA", at positions 11 to 584 of the family's 1533-position model. The record is from RNAcentral.
GUUUGAUCCUGGCUCAGGACGAACGCUGGCGGCGUGCCUAAUACAUACAAGUCGAGCGAAUCUUGAGGAGCUUGCUCCUUAAGGUUAGCGGCGGACGGGUGAGUAACACGUGGGCAACCUGCCUGUAAGACUGGGAUAACACCGGGAAACCGGUGCUAAUACCGGAUAAUUCUUCACCUCGCGUGGGGUGAAGCUGAAAGUCGGUUUCGGCUGACACUUACAGAUGGGCCCGCGGCGCAUUAGUUAGUUGGUGAGGUAACGGCUCACCAAGGCAACGAUGCGUAGCCGACCUGAGAGGGUGAUCGGCCACACUGGGACUGAGACACGGCCCAGACUCCUACGGGAGGCAGCAGUAGGGAAUCUUCCGCAAUGGACGAAAGUCUGACGGAGCAACGCCGCGUGAGUGAUGAAGGCCUUCGGGUCGUAAAACUCUGUUGUUAGGGAAGAACAAGUACCGGAGUAACUGCCGGUACCUUGACGGUACCUAACCAGAAAGCCACGGCUAACUACGUGCCAGCAGCCGCGGUAAUACGUAGGUGGCAAGCGUUGUCCGGAAUUAUUGGGCGUAAAGCGCGCGCAGGCGGUCCUUU